GAUGAAGAACGCAGCGAAAUGCGAUAAGUAGUGUGAAUUGCAGAAUUCAGUGAAUCAUCGAAUCUUUGAACGCACAUUGCGCCCUUUGGUAUUCCAAAGGGCAUGCCUGUUCGAGCGUCAUUUGUACCCUCAAGCUUUGCUUGGUGUUGGGCGUCUUGUCUCUAGCUUUGCUGGAGACUCGCCUUAAAGUAAUUGGCAGCCGGCCUACUGGUUUCGGAGCGCAGCACAAGUCGCACUCUCUAUCAGCAAAGGCCUAGCAUCCAUUAAGCCUUUUUUUCAACUUUUGACCUCGGAUCAGGUAGGGAUACCCGCUGAACUUAAGCAUAUCAAUAAGCGGAGGA
Molecule: unclassified non-coding RNA, 341 nt
Filed under: soil metagenome
Description: partial contains 5.8S ribosomal RNA, internal transcribed spacer 2, and large subunit ribosomal RNA
Rfam family: 5.8S ribosomal RNA (bases 1-120)
Source: RNAcentral